GGGUGAGUAACACGUGGGUGAUCUGCCCUGCACUUCGGGAUAAGCCUGGGAAACUGGGUCUAAUACCGGAUAGGAGCCAUUUUUAGUGUGAUGGUUGGAAAGUUUUUUCGGUGUAGGAUGAGCUCGCGGCCUAUCAGCUUGUUGGUGGGGUAAUGGCCUACCAAGGCGGCGACGGAUAGCCGGCCUGAGAGGGUGGACGGCCACAUUGGGACUGAGAUACGGCCCAG
RNAcentral lists this ribosomal RNA (227 nucleotides) under uncultured Actinomycetales bacterium. RNAcentral describes it as "partial 16S ribosomal RNA". It matches the Rfam family "Bacterial small subunit ribosomal RNA", at positions 104 to 334 of the family's 1533-position model. Lineage: Bacteria; Bacillati; Actinomycetota; Actinomycetes; Actinomycetales. The record is from RNAcentral.